AAACCGUUGAAAGGGAAGCGAAUGGGGUUAGCAAUUCGUCACGUCAGAUUCAGUCGUUCGCGCUCCGCGACGAGCGCGCUCUCGAUCCUCGUGGACGGGACGUGCUCGGACGCGGCGUGCGUCCGGCGCACUUCUGGCUGGCGAGCGUCAGCGUCGGUUGCCGAUGGGAGAGAAGGUCGCGAGGAAGGUGAGCAAUCCCUUUGUGGAAUGCUGUUAAGCCUCGUGUACGUACGUCUCGUCGGUGACCGUGGCGUUUCGGCGACGCGUGCCUGGCUGGCGACUCGUUUGGACGGUCCGGUCGUCGACCGUGGCGGACGGCAAGCCUGUGCGCUCGAACCGCUGCCGGUCGUUCGGACGAUGUUCGCACACUACGCGUCGAAGAUGCUGACGACCAUACGGCCCCAUCCGACCCGUCUUGAAACACGGACCAAGGAGUCUAACAUGUGCGCGAGUCUCCGGGUGAUCGAAACCCGUGGGCGCAAUGAAAGUAAAGGUCGCUCACGCGGCCGAGGUGAGAGGCGCUUGCCGCCGCAUCAUCGACCGACCUAUUCUGCUCUCAGACAGGUUUGAGUAAGAGCGUAUCUGUUGGGACCCGAAAGAUGGUGAACUAUGCCUGAAUAGGGUGAAGCCAGCGGAAACACUGGUGGAAGCUCGUAGCGAUUCUGACGUGCAAAUCGAUCGUCGAAUUUGGGUAUAGCGGCGAAAGACUAAUCGAACCAUCUAGUAGCUGGUUCCCUCCGAAGUUUCCCUCAGGAUAGC
Molecule: ribosomal RNA, 759 nt
Filed under: Clavularia sp. YWL-2019
Lineage: Eukaryota; Metazoa; Cnidaria; Anthozoa; Malacalcyonacea; Clavulariidae
Description: partial 28S ribosomal RNA
Rfam family: Eukaryotic large subunit ribosomal RNA
Source: RNAcentral